Molecule: ribosomal RNA, 637 nt
Filed under: Stenotrophomonas sp. Ri1Pw_5583
Lineage: Bacteria; Pseudomonadati; Pseudomonadota; Gammaproteobacteria; Lysobacterales; Lysobacteraceae
Description: bacterial SSU rRNA
Rfam family: Bacterial small subunit ribosomal RNA
Source: RNAcentral
GCAGCCUGAUCCAGCCAUACCGCGUGGGUGAAGAAGGCCUUCGGGUUGUAAAGCCCUUUUGUUGGGAAAGAAAUCCAGCCGGCUAAUACCUGGUUGGGAUGACGGUACCCAAAGAAUAAGCACCGGCUAACUUCGUGCCAGCAGCCGCGGUAAUACGAAGGGUGCAAGCGUUACUCGGAAUUACUGGGCGUAAAGCGUGCGUAGGUGGUUGUUUAAGUCUGUUGUGAAAGCCCUGGGCUCAACCUGGGAACUGCAGUGGAAACUGGACAACUAGAGUGUGGUAGAGGGUAGCGGAAUUCCCGGUGUAGCAGUGAAAUGCGUAGAGAUCGGGAGGAACAUCCAUGGCGAAGGCAGCUACCUGGACCAACACUGACACUGAGGCACGAAAGCGUGGGGAGCAAACAGGAUUAGAUACCCUGGUAGUCCACGCCCUAAACGAUGCGAACUGGAUGUUGGGUGCAAUUUGGCACGCAGUAUCGAAGCUAACGCGUUAAGUUCGCCGCCUGGGGAGUACGGUCGCAAGACUGAAACUCAAAGGAAUUGACGGGGGCCCGCACAAGCGGUGGAGUAUGUGGUUUAAUUCGAUGCAACGCGAAGAACCUUACCUGGCCUUGACAUGUCGAGAACUUUCCAGAGA